Molecule: non-coding RNA, 29 nt
Filed under: Bombyx mori (domestic silkworm)
Lineage: Eukaryota; Metazoa; Arthropoda; Insecta; Lepidoptera; Bombycidae
Source: RNAcentral
CUGGCUCUUAAUAUGACCAUACCGGCAAC